GUCUACGGCCAUACCACCCUGAAUGCGCCCGAUCUCGUCUGAUCUCGGAAGCUAAGCAGGGUCGGGCCUGGUUAGUACUUGGAUGGGAAAAAAUGGUGCUGAUAGACU
Molecule: ribosomal RNA, 108 nt
Filed under: Canis lupus familiaris (dog)
Lineage: Eukaryota; Metazoa; Chordata; Mammalia; Carnivora; Canidae
Source: RNAcentral